GACGAACCGUGCGAACGUUGUUCGGAUUCACUGGGCUUAAAGGGCGCGUAGGCGGCUUGCCAAGUCAGGGGUGAAAUCUUUCGGCUCAACCGGAAACGUGCCCCUGAUACUGGCGGGCUGGAGGGAGGUAGGGGCAGACGGAACUUCCGGUGGAGCGGUGAAAUGCGUAGAUAUCGGAAGGAACGCCGGUGGCGAAGGCGGGUCUCUGGACAGUUCCUGACACUGAGACACGAAGGCCAGGGGAGCAAACGGG
Molecule: ribosomal RNA, 253 nt
Filed under: uncultured bacterium
Lineage: Bacteria
Description: partial 16S ribosomal RNA
Rfam family: Bacterial small subunit ribosomal RNA
Source: RNAcentral